RNAcentral lists this long non-coding RNA (2876 nucleotides) under Phasianus colchicus (ring-necked pheasant). Its description in RNAcentral is "lncRNA (ENSPCLG00000011022.1)". The record is from RNAcentral. Lineage: Eukaryota; Metazoa; Chordata; Aves; Galliformes; Phasianidae.
CAUCUCUGUGUGCCUCUUCCCAUGGUUUCCUGGAGCACCAACCCCACAGCUUCUCACCUCCUGACCCUUUUGCUGCCCACCCCGGGCAGUGGGGCCGGAUGUGCUUUACAUCUCAGGGCUGUGCAUGGAUGUUGCCACAGGUGAUACGGAGUCAGGCGAGCGUAUUGAGUCGGUGGAUGCUCAGACAAGCAUCCAUUUGGAGACGAGUGCUGAGGUGCAGCAUCCCCCCUGAGCACACACCUUGGGCUGUGAGCAUGCAAACACUCAAGCAAGGAACAUUUCAGAACUUUUGCUGUAGUUCCCCGCCCACUUUUUGCAGCAGGACGGCUCCGGGGUGCUGCAGCCCCGCGGCCGGGAGGUGCCGCGCCCGCAUCCAGCUCAGCAUCGCGCAGCACCGCGGGGCAGGAGGGGGCUGCGGUGCUCCUGGGGGACUGCGGCCGGCAUCGGCUUGUCUCGGGAUGCCGCCGAGCCCCGCUCCCAGCCUUAGGACCCGCCCGCCAGGUGGGGCCGUUGCCGUUCCGGCGAUGCUCGGGGAUGGAUGCGGUGUGCGUGGCUCGGAGGUGCGGGUCGGACACGUGAGGAUGUCGGGUUGGAACCGGGCCGGGUGCAGCAGGGUGCUGCGAUGCGCUGAGCGGAAAGCUGUUCCAUCGCUGACCUCAGGGCUCCUUCGGUCCGUGCUGCAGCUGAAACAAACAGCAGUUCUUCAUCCACCCCGCUUCCCUGCUUGGCCCUCAGUGUGCCGCGGCCGGAUGCCCUCUUCCCCACGAAGGUCCUUUGGUGGCUGUGCUCGGGACGACAGAGCUCGGGGCUUCGGGACAGCCUCUGCGCCAGAGAAUGGUGCAGAUGUGUCGUGCACUCUCCUGGUGGAUCAUUUCCCUCGUGCUUCUCCUGGUGGGGCAGGAUGGCUAUAUGCAAGGCAAGGCAGUGUGCAAGGGGAUGGCAGAGUGCAAGGCACCCUUUUCUGCCCGUUUGUGCCUCUGAUAUUGCAGGAGCUUGUGCAAAGCACAGCCUGGGAGCAGCACUGCUGGCUGGCACAGGACAGGAGCCAUGAUGUGUCCUAGUAGCACUGUGUCUGCAAGAUGUAAGGUGCUUGGAUGCUGGGCUACAAAACACCCUGGGAAGGGCAGCUGGUGGCCUUAAUCCCACCUGUUUUUGUGUGUGUAACACUCCCAAGCUGGUUUCCUAGUGCUGCUGUGGGAGCAUCACAGCAGGCAGAGUAUGGAGUGUUGGCUGCUCCAGUUCCUGCUGUCCUGCACAGGUUCUGCACAGCACCAACCUCCAAUGGGACCGUUUUCAUCUGCCUGCAUCCCUGCCCAGAAGCUCCAAAGCUGUUUCCAUGCAGCAGGGCAGCUUGCAGCGAGCCGACAUUGCGUUCUGGUGGUACCCACUGCCCAAAGUGCAGCUUAAAACCCUUGCAAAAGGGCUUGUACUGCUUAUCAUGCUGCAUUCAGCCCUUAUCACUGGUGUACAUCUGCUACAUAUUGCACACCAUGUCGGGGUCAGCUGAGAGCUGGGAUGAGUUAGAGGGGCUUGGGAGGGGGUCUGCAUUGCACCAGGGCCGCUGGUGCCAGCUCCAAUUGCUGCACACACACAGCAUUUAGCUUACAACAGAUUAUAAUAUGCAUUCCAGAUGUACGAUGUGAAGCUUUACAGCAUAUCUUAGCUCCUAAUCUUCCCCAUGCCAAUGUGUAUCAUUGCAAUCUACCUACCUACAUCAGACAAAUUACUUUAGUUGUUGCUUCGAAGCCCAAUGCAGCCAACAGACGCAACGCAAUCCUUGCAGCCACCGCCACAGCGUGGAGAUGCCCCCAGCACAGCUCAGAGGAUGGGUUUUAUUCAAAACCAUUUUUAUUCUGUUUUUCAUUCUUUUAGUUAAAAAUGAGUAUAUGAGGAGGGCAUAUUAAAUGCUGAUCUUCUUGCUCAACUAUUUGCUAAUGUAAUUUUUUGGUACUGCAUCACGGGGACGAUCUGAAUUCUUUUAUUUUCAUGUAAAAGUGCUGUCACAAAUCCAAGCAAGUUUUCAGUGUGAUGAGGCACUUAAAGAAGAGUUUUUCUUUUUUGCUGUUGUUGUUAUUGAUGUCUCCUGAAAAGGAUAUCCUUAAGAUAUAGGGACAGCUAUAGCUGCUGGUACUCUGAAUUGCUAUGAAGGCUCACACUGCAAAGAGAGCCUUGACAAUGAUGGAUAACCUCCACAACUUCUCAAUAGCAGAUUUUGUUUAUCCUGCCUCUUCUUUGUGUUUGUGGCUGGUUUUUCACUCGGGGCUACUCUCAGCCUUUAAACACCAGCUCUGCAGCUCUCGCAUAACCUCCCUCCCUAAGACAGGGGAGGCUUAGGUUGGAUAUUAGGAGGAAGUUUUCCACACAGAGGGUGGUGAGGCACUGGAACAGGUUGCCCAAGGAGGCUGUGGAUGCCCCAUCCCUGCAGGCAUUCAAGGCCAGGCUGGAUGUGGCUCUGGGCAGCCUGGGCUGCUGGUUGGUGACCUGCACAUAGCAGGGGGUUGGGACUGGAUGAGCACUGUGGUUCUUUUUGACCCAGGCCAUUCUAGGAUUCCCUCUUCCCACUGCUGUAAACAGACAAUGGGCACAGCUGCACGUCCCACAGGAAGCCCCUGUGCCCCACAUUGACAGCAGUGGGUUUGGGUGAAAGUUGUGAUUCCUGAGUGACUUUGUGUGUGUGUCACAGAGCAAGGGAUGCUGCGAAUGGCCAAAUCUUCAGAGCCUUUGCUCUUGGCCAUGCACAGAUCAGGAGCAGAGCCCAGGAUGCCGCAGGGCUUCCCACCAUCUCUGUGACUUUUUCCCCUCCUUCUCUUGGAGUUCUUUGGUUUUGGUUGAAAGGUUUUAAUAAAAUCACUGCUCUAAUAUGGGAAGACUUUUCC